AUUGAACGCUGGCGGCAGGCCUAACACAUGCAAGUCGAGCGGAUGAAGGGAGCUUGCUCCUGGAUUCAGCGGCGGACGGGUGAGUAAUGCCUAGGAAUCUGCCUGGUAGUGGGGGAUAACGUCCGGAAACGGGCGCUAAUACCGCAUACGUCCUGAGGGAGAAAGUGGGGGAUCUUCGGACCUCACGCUAUCAGAUGAGCCUAGGUCGGAUUAGCUAGUUGGUGGGGUAAAGGCCUACCAAGGCGACGAUCCGUAACUGGUCUGAGAGGAUGAUCAGUCACACUGGAACUGAGACACGGUCCAGACUCCUACGGGAGGCAGCAGUGGGGAAUAUUGGACAAUGGGCGAAAGCCUGAUCCAGCCAUGCCGCGUGUGUGAAGAAGGUCUUCGGAUUGUAAAGCACUUUAAGUUGGGAGGAAGGGCAGUAAGUUAAUACCUUGCUGUUUUGACGUUACCAACGAAUAAGCACCGAAUUAC
This 477-nucleotide ribosomal RNA is filed under the name Pseudomonas aeruginosa. RNAcentral describes it as "bacterial SSU rRNA". It matches the Rfam family "Bacterial small subunit ribosomal RNA", at positions 30 to 501 of the family's 1533-position model. Lineage: Bacteria; Pseudomonadati; Pseudomonadota; Gammaproteobacteria; Pseudomonadales; Pseudomonadaceae. The record is from RNAcentral.